This 301-nucleotide ribosomal RNA is filed under the name uncultured bacterium. RNAcentral's name for it is "partial 16S ribosomal RNA". It matches the Rfam family "Bacterial small subunit ribosomal RNA", at positions 509 to 807 of the family's 1533-position model. The record is from RNAcentral.
CAGCCGCCGCGGUAAUACGUAGGUGGCAAGCGUUGUCCGGAAUUAUUGGGCGUAAAGGGCUCGCAGGCGGUUUCUUAAGUCUGAUGUGAAAGCCCCCGGCUCAACCGGGGAGGGUCAUUGGAAACUGGGAAACUUGAGUGCAGAAGAGGAGAGUGGAAUUCCACGUAUAGCGGUGAAAUGCGUAGAGGUGUGGAGGAACACCAGUGGCGAAGGCGACUCUCUGGUCUGUAACUGACGCUGAGGAGCGAAAGCGUGGGGAGCGAACAGGAUUAGAUACCCCAGUAGUCCCUGUCUCUUAUAC